Molecule: small RNA, 720 nt
Filed under: Leucocoryne incrassata
Lineage: Eukaryota; Viridiplantae; Streptophyta; Magnoliopsida; Asparagales; Amaryllidaceae
Also listed under: 2 other names
Description: eukaryotic LSU rRNA
Rfam family: 5.8S ribosomal RNA (bases 291-446)
Source: RNAcentral
AGGUUUCCGUAGGUGAACCUGCGGAAGGAUCAUUGUCGAUAUCCAAGAGGAAGAAUGAGAACUUGUGAAGGUGCCUUUUGGGAGCAGAGGCAACAAAAAAACUGCGUAGCCUUCUUUCUCUCUACGACACCCCUCGCUGCUACUGCCCCCGCGUUAAAACGGGAUUGGUGGUGGGAACAUGACCCCGGUGCGUUCUGCACCAAGGAACAAUUUUGCUGGAUAGCAUUGCGUGCUUUGAUGCCUAGCUUUGUGGCAUGUGAUGUGAUCCUUGCUAACGUGAGAACAUGCAUGACUCUCGGCAACGGAUAUCUUGGCUCUUGCAUCGAUGAAGAACGUAGCAAAAUGCGAUACUUGGUGUGAAUUGCAGAAUCCCGUGAAUCAUCGAGUUUUUGAACGCAAGUAGCGCCCAAGGCCAUCUGGUUGAGGGCACGCCUGCCUGGGCGUCACACUUAGCGUCACUUCAUGCACCUAGUCAACAUCGGUUUACUUUGUGCUUGGAUGUGUAGAUUGGCCCCUUGAGCUUUUGUGGCAUUAUGGGCUGAAGUAUGGGCUUUGCCGCUAGUUCUAGACGCGGUGAGUGGUGGAUGGACUUUGUGCACGAUGCCUUUUCUCCGUGGACUAUAGAAACUAGCUUAAUAAGCGAAAAAAGAACCAAUGCAGAUGGAGCUUUAUUACAUCUUCAAACCAUGACCCCAGGUCAGGAGGGAACACCUGCUGAGC